CAGCCUGCAGAAAUGAGAGCCACAGCCCAGCAGUGACUUUCUCAAGAUUUCAAAGCACACAUACUUCUAUAACGCUAAUGACAUCUCUUUGGAACCUGUAGGUUUGAGCGCAGAGCACAUGUGAACUUUUAUAUUUCAAGAACUGAAUUUAGUUAUAACCAGUGGCUAAUUUUCCUAACGCACCUCCAAAGAAUGACUGACAAGAGUGCAGGAUUGAGACGGGAAACAUGGGCUUUGGAGCCAGGCAGCUGUAGGCUCAAAACUUAACCUGGUCGCCUUGUGGCCUCAGAUGGCUGCACUGUGGAAAAAUACUGGCUAUGUUCCUCUAGACCAACAGGGGGCGCUGGAUCACUGUGCUGCUGCUUCAGAUGUCAGCUACAACGAGGGAAGGAGGCAACGUCCCAGCUUGUCUCCCAGGGCCCCAUUUUCACUCACUCUGCUAGCUCGUAUCGGAACCUCCAGUUCCUGCUGCUGUCCGUCACUACAAACUCCUGCAGCUGGCGGAGGUGCUCUCUCCUCCUGUCCUCGUGGAGCAGCUGUUGAAAAUACAGCUCCAUAAGUGACAUGCCAGCCUCAAGGUGACCUCUGGGUAAGCCAGUUCACCCCUGGGGACCUUGGACUUUGCCAUCAAGAACCCUUCAUAAGAAGCACAGCCCUACUGGGUCCAAGCAGCAGCAGAGGAACAAACAAACCUGUACUUUAGAUCUAUUCUCCUCAAGUGCGGUAGGUUCCUGCCUCUGCUCCGUCUCCAGGUGCUCACUGCUUCUAUUCUGAGGUUCAGUUUGAUCCUGUAGAGUUGAUGGGACAUGUCACCAACUGAUACCAAAGGAGGACAGCGUCUUCAUCCACCCCCAUCCAAGGAACCGUCCUUCAUGUCAGAAACAACAAGUGCAUUUUUUGAGGGGCAUGGCAUUUCUCCUGACACCAGAACGUGCACUUCUGCAUAGCGGCAGGCUCUGCACACGGUCCAGUCUCUACCUGUGCUCUGGAGAAGGACCUCACUGCAGCUGCAAGGCUGCCUUACAGGCAGCCAUGCUGACUGUUAAAGCCGGUGAGGAACAACAGUGUGGGAUGGCAUCUGCCACUCUUUUAAGGCCUGGGUCUCCUUUGUGUGGUCAACCAGCAGCCUUUAAGACAGCUACAGAAAGAGGGGUAAGGACGGAUUUUCAGAAAAGACAGAGCAGGACCUGCAGUCUUGGCUUGGAGACAGGCUGCAAUGCAGGUGGCAGGCAUGGCAGUGAGGGAGCAGUGGCCUAGAGAGAAGGUUCGGUCAGCAGGGGACUAUUUACUCAGUAAACUGUUCUGUACUCUCACAUGUGUAAAUACUCCUAAUGUUUGCUGAUGAACCUGUGCAUUAGGUUAACAAUUAAAAUGAGCAGGAACAUUCAAUGGU
Long non-coding RNA from Myodes glareolus (Bank vole), 1393 nucleotides. RefSeq lists it as uncharacterized. The record is from RefSeq and is a predicted model, not a curated record. Lineage: Eukaryota; Metazoa; Chordata; Mammalia; Rodentia; Cricetidae.